CCCUUAGAUGUCCUGGGCCGCACGCGCGUUACACUGAUGCAUUCAACGAGCUUAUAACCUUGGCCGAGAGGCCUGGGCAAUCUUGUUAACGUGCAUCGUGAUAGGGAUAGAUUAUUGAAAUUAUUAAUCUUGAACGAGGAAUUCCUAGUAAACGCAGAUCAUCAAUCUGCAUUGAUUACGUCCCUGCCCUUUGUACACACCGCCCGUCGCACCUACCGAUUGAACGUUCCGGUGAGACCUUGGGAUUUGGUCUUUGAUACUUUAUUGUGUCGUUGACCGAAAAACUUGAGCAAACCUUAACGUUUAGAGGAAGGUGAAGUCGUAACA
Molecule: ribosomal RNA, 327 nt
Filed under: uncultured eukaryote
Lineage: Eukaryota
Description: partial 18S ribosomal RNA
Rfam family: Eukaryotic small subunit ribosomal RNA
Source: RNAcentral